Cinara cedri is the source of this 1531-nucleotide non-coding RNA. The record is from the annotation of a GenBank genome assembly. Lineage: Eukaryota; Metazoa; Arthropoda; Insecta; Hemiptera; Aphididae.
UAUUGUAAAUUGUAACUUUAAAUUUAAUUAAAAUAAGGAAAAGUAGUUUUUUAGUAAAAAAUGAAGACAAUAGGUACACAAAUAGAAAAGAAAAUUGCUUUUUGGUAACAGGAAUAUAAAAUGAGAAAAAUAGUUAAGUUCACAACAUAAUAUAAAAAAGGUUUUAUUUUCUUCUCUUCAAUAAGUCUAAAUUCAAUUGUACCAUAGAAAAUGAUAAUUCCUAUAGUAGUAAGACAUUUUUAUAUUAAUGAUUAGGCUUGCAAAUAUUGAUAAAUUAUUUUUAAAGUAUUUUUGUUUACUUCAUUAUUAUUAAUUAUAUUAUAUAAUAUUAUAAUACCAGUUAUCUAUUCUGUAAUAUGAUAAUUAUUAAUUUUUAGAGUUUGUUUUAGAUUAAGUAUAUAACAUUUCGAUUUCUAGAAGGUAGGGUGUAGGUACACAAUGACCAUUAAAUAUAUGUGAUAUAUAAUCUUGCACCAUCAAGUGAUUUUUUUUGUGUUUCUUUUGUUUGUCUUUUAUGAUUUCCUACUUAAUCGGUUGAUCUGAUCAAGUCAGGCUCUAGCUUGUCCCUGCCCUGUCCAAUCAACAGCUGUAUCUAUUAAAGAUGUAGAGGCCAGACUGGUAACCUCCACACACAUGCAGUUGCUAGGUAACACCUUCGGGAGCCUACUUGCUUAUUCCUGACUACCAACAGCUAGGUAUCCAACCCACCUGUUGUACUAUUAUUAUUUCUGAUUGUGACUUCUAUAAAGAAUUUUUUAAAUGGUAGCUUUCCAUUACAUUUUAUACCUACAGCCAGAUGAUUUUUGUUCAGGGUUUCUUCCCCUACGAUGCUUGCCAGUCAAGGGUGGAGAGUUUGCCUUACCCUGAUUUGUAUGCUGAUCACAGCAUCUGUAUUGACUUAUAUCAUAGCUAAUGGCAAUAUAAGGUAGUCCAAAAAGUUAUUCUAGAAUUAUUUGCCUGAAACAUUUCUCCAAUUUGGUGAUGGCUGUUGCCCCAUUAAUGCAAGACAAACUGUCCGGGUAAUGUAUUAUACUAAUAAUACAAACAUUUUUUUCCUUUCAAUCUUUUGCACAAAUUAAAUAGCGCGGAAUGUAUAAAUGCCCAAACAGAUUUCCAAACCACUUGACCACUUGAUCCCCAAUCAAAAUCCACAGUUACAGACAUUUGGAGAUAGUGCCCUUUGUGUUGCUGUUGCUGAAUACUAUGUGUAUUAGUUAAUAUAUAUUUAAAACUAGGGAUUAUAUAAAUGCACAAGUAUAUUACCUCAAUAAAAUUGUCCUUGUGUCUGUUAAAAUAUAUAGGUACUGAAUAGUUGUAGAGCCAUUUUUUUAUUGACUCUGACUUUCUCAAAAUUGGAAUGAAAUCUCUAUGCCAACCAUUGAUCUCAAAGGAUGCCAUAUUGCAAUCUUAUCAUAAAACCUUUCAUUUUCAGUCUCCUGGUAAAAAUAUUAUUAACAACAUGUACCACAUCUCAUUGUCCAAGAUAAAUGUUAUUACAGUGGCACACUUAAACAAUAAAUUCCCUAAAAGA